GACGAACCGUGCGAACGUUGUUCGGAAUUACUGGGCGUAAAGCGCACGUAGGCGGCUUUGUAAGUUAGAGGUGAAAGCCCAGGGCUUAACCCUGGAAUUGCCUUUAAGACUGCAUCGCUAGGAUCGUGGAGAGGUAAGUGGAAUUCCGAGUGUAGAGGUGAAAUUCGUAGAUAUUCGGAAGAACACCAGUGGCGAAGGCGACUUACUGGACACGUAUUGACGCUGAGGUGCGAAAGCGUGGGGAGCAAACAGG
This 253-nucleotide ribosomal RNA is filed under the name uncultured bacterium. RNAcentral describes it as "partial 16S ribosomal RNA". It matches the Rfam family "Bacterial small subunit ribosomal RNA", at positions 524 to 776 of the family's 1533-position model. The record is from RNAcentral.